ACGCCAGCAAAAUAUGGCGUCGGGAUUGGCGUCCCGGAUGUUAAGAGGCGACACCAGAUGCGCCAGCGUCUUUUUU
Molecule: small RNA, 76 nt
Filed under: Salmonella enterica subsp. enterica
Lineage: Bacteria; Pseudomonadati; Pseudomonadota; Gammaproteobacteria; Enterobacterales; Enterobacteriaceae
Description: isrK
Rfam family: isrK Hfq binding RNA
Source: RNAcentral